CCUGGUUGAUUCUGCCAGUAGUCAUAUGCUUGUCUCAAAGAUUAAGCCAUGCAUGUCUAAGUAUAAGCAAUCUAUACUGUGAAACUGCGAAUGGCUCAUUAAAUCAGUUAUCGUUUAUUUGAUAGUACCUUACUACUUGGAUAACCGUGGUAAUUCUAGAGCUAAUACAUGCUAAAAACCCCGACUUCGGAAGGGGUGUAUUUAUUAGAUAAAAAACCAAUGCCCUUCGGGGCUCCUUGGUGAAUCAUGAUAACUUAACGAAUCGCAUGGCCUUGCGCCGGCGAUGGUUCAUUCAAAUUUCUGCCCUAUCAACUUUCGAUGGUAGGAUAGUGGCCUACCAUGGUAGCAACGGGUAACGGGGAAUUAGGGUUCUAUUCCGGAGAGGGAGCCUGAGAAACGGCUACCACAUCCAAGGAAGGCAGCAGGCGCGCAAAUUACCCAAUCCCGACACGGGGAGGUAGUGACAAUAAAUACUGAUACAGGGCUCUUUCGAGUCUUGUAAUUGGAAUGAGUACAAUUUAAAUACCUUAACGAGGAACAAUUGGAGGGCAAGUCUGGUGCCAGCAGCCGCGGUAAUUCCAGCUCCAAUAGCGUAUAUUAAAGUUGUUGCAGUUAAAAAGCUCGUAGUUGAACCUUGGGCCUGGCUGGCCGGUCCGCCUCACCGCGUGUACUGGUCCGGCCGGGCCUUUCCUUCUGGGGAUCCGCAUGCCCUUCACUGGGUGUGCCGGGGAACCAGGACUUUUACUUUGAAAAAAUUAGAGUGUUCAAAGCAGGCCUUUGCUCGAAUACAUUAGCAUGGAAUAAUAGAAUAGGACGUGCGGUCCUAUUUUGUUGGUUUCUAGGACCGCCGUAAUGAUUAAUAGGGAUAGUCGGGGGCAUCAGUAUUCAAUUGUCAGAGGUGAAAUUCUUGGAUUUAUU
RNAcentral lists this ribosomal RNA (918 nucleotides) under Phyllosticta citricarpa CGMCC3.14348. Its description in RNAcentral is "SSU rRNA". It matches the Rfam family "Eukaryotic small subunit ribosomal RNA", at positions 3 to 930 of the family's 1831-position model. The record is from RNAcentral. Lineage: Eukaryota; Fungi; Ascomycota; Dothideomycetes; Botryosphaeriales; Phyllostictaceae.